GUACCGAUGAAGAGUCCCAAACUAGGACAAAACAAUUGUCCAGUAC
Molecule: non-coding RNA, 46 nt
Filed under: Trichobilharzia regenti
Lineage: Eukaryota; Metazoa; Platyhelminthes; Trematoda; Strigeidida; Schistosomatidae
Source: RNAcentral